RNAcentral lists this transfer RNA (75 nucleotides) under Theileria equi strain WA. It matches the Rfam family "tRNA". From Rfam's summary of the family: Transfer RNA (tRNA) molecules are approximately 80 nucleotides in length. Their secondary structure includes four short double-helical elements and three loops (D, anti-codon, and T loops). The record is from Rfam by way of RNAcentral. Lineage: Eukaryota; Apicomplexa; Aconoidasida; Piroplasmida; Theileriidae.
GUGAAUAUGGCGGAACAGGAUAGUCGCGCUAAAUUUAGGAUUUAGUUUUUAAGAGUUCGAGCCUCUUUAUUUACA